GGGAACUUUACGGGACCCCAGCGUUUAUUAGAUUUAAACCAAUAUUCCGCAAGGUCUACUGAGAUGAUUCAUGAUAACUGAUCGAAUUGCUGGAACUCUAGCAAUAAAUCAUGUAGGUUUCUGCUUCCCAUCAGCUUGAUGGUAGUGUAUUGGACAACCAUGGCAUUCACGGGCUAUCGGGGGAUUAGGGUUCGAUUCCGGAGAGGGAGCCUGAUAAACGGCUACCACUUCUACGGAAGGCAGCAGGCGCGAAAAUUAUCCAAUCCUGAUUCAGGGAGGUAGUGAAAGAAAUAAUGAACUAGGAUUUAUCCUGGGAUCACAAUGGGCUUGAUUUGCAAACACUUAGCGAGGAACAAUUGGAGGGCAAGUCUGGUGCCAGCAGCCGCGGUAAUUCCAGCUCCAAUAGAGUAUAUAAACGUUCCUGCAGUUAUUCGAUGCUCGUAGUUGGAUUUCUGAGGUUGAGACGGGAGGGUGGCUAUGGCCAUCGCCCGACUCUUUCCUCAUCCACCUGUUUGCGAAGUCCGGGAUUGAUUUCUCGGCUUCGGGCGCAGUAUCUUACCAUUUCAAUAUUCGUAGUCUUCAUCGAUUAUGUUGUUUCUUUGAGCAAAUUAUAGUGUUUCAGGCAGGCGUGCGCCGGAAUACAUUAGCAUGGUAUAAACGAAUUGGACCGUGUGCCCGUAACUGGGCUUCUCCUUAUUGUUGGUUUGAAGGACACGGAGAUGGUUAAUAGGGACAGCGUUUAUUUCACAAGGAGGCAUUAGUAUUUAAUUUCCAGAGGUGAAAUUCUUUGAAAUAUUAAAGACUAACUUAUGCGAAAGCAUCGUUUGCCAAUGAUGUUUUCAUUAAUCAUUGAACGAAAGUUAGGGGAUCAAAGACGAUCAGAUACCGUCCUAGUCUUAACCAUAAACGUUGCCGACUAGGGAUCGGAGGGCGUGCACAAUCCGCCUUCGGCACCUUACGAGAAAUCAAAGUCUUUUGGGUUCUGUGGGUAGUAUGGUCGCAAGGCUGAAACUUAAAGGAAUUGACGGAAGGGCACCACCAGGAGUGGAGCUUGCGGCUCAAUUUGACUCAACACGGGAAAUCUUACCAGGUCCAGACAUAGCGAGGAU
Molecule: ribosomal RNA, 1109 nt
Filed under: Euplotes sp. cPFEU4
Lineage: Eukaryota; Ciliophora; Spirotrichea; Euplotida; Euplotidae
Description: SSU rRNA
Rfam family: Eukaryotic small subunit ribosomal RNA
Source: RNAcentral